AUGCAAUUUCGAACUAUUCCUCAAAAGAAGUUGUACGUCAUUGUAAUGAUACUGGUUUUCCUCCCUUCAGCUGAAUGUUUCUUUCCACCUUCCCCCUCUCUCUCCUACUUGCCUCAUCUAAUCUGUGUUCUUCCCUUGUACUCCGGUGUGAGGCAUUUUGUUGGUUUGGAUGUGGAGUUGGGAUUAGGGGUGGAUGUGGGCUCCAUUUCUCUUCCAGCAAGGCUUUGCCACGAACUGCUUUACGCCACUGUUUUUCUGGUUGUUUUUGUUUUAUUUUUUUUUAAUAAAGAAGAAAACAAACAAACCAACCAACCUGACACUGUUCCUGUGUGUUUUUCAUCGCGUUGUGGGGAAGGAAGAAAGAAAGAAAGAAAGGUGCUGGUGGGGAAACGGGCGUCUGAGGACGCGCACGUGGUGGCAGCAGCAGCGUCCGAGGACCCCUUGGGGGUUGCCGUCUGCUCUUCCUCGGCGGUGGGACCCAAACCCGGUCUGUUUCACGACUGGGUUUGUAGGAGCGUGUGCUAUACUUCUCUAGCGCCUCUGAGGGGCGCUGGGCACGGGGCUCAGGCCCUUCGCAAAGCCCAAAGCCCCGCUUCGGUUCGGGGCACGGCGCGGCCCGGCCGUGCGGGACCGAGACCCGCGGCCCCUCUGUCCGCGGCCCGCGCUGGGGACAGGGGCGGCCGGGCACGGUGCCCCGGUUUAAAACAGAGGAAACGAGGGCUCGGCGGGAGGCGGGCGCGCCGGCUGCCGGGCAGCUGCAGAUUUCGUCGGGUUUGGCGGCGCUGCAGAGCCCCGGCGCAUCCAGCCCCUCCCCGGGCCCGCGGGGCGCGGCGGAGCGGUGCCGAGCCACGCGUGCGGCGGCGGGCGGGCUACCUGCGGCGGCGGCGCCCAGAGCAGGCCCCGGGGCGGCCGCAGGGGCGAGGCAGGGGCGAGCAACCGGCGCGGCGGCGACGAGAGUCAAGACGCAGCAGCAGAAGGGCUCCGCAGCGGUCCCAUGGUGUAAUGGUUCCGCAGGGGAGCCCCAGGUUUUGGGCCUUGUCUGACGUUGAACAGCUGAGGACCUCCAGUCCCACAGCCUCCUGCGGGCAAGCGUCAAGCGUGACCAGCAGUGACCCGGCAGCCAGGAAAGCACUGCAGCUCCGCAUGGGUUCAGGAGCAAUUUCCCUGUAUGUGCAGCAUUUAAAGUAA
This 1188-nucleotide long non-coding RNA is filed under the name Anser brachyrhynchus (Pink-footed goose). Its description in RNAcentral is "lncRNA (ENSABRG00000021494.1)". Lineage: Eukaryota; Metazoa; Chordata; Aves; Anseriformes; Anatidae. The record is from RNAcentral.